RNAcentral lists this long non-coding RNA (571 nucleotides) under Phoenix dactylifera (date palm). Its description in RNAcentral is "long non-coding RNA (PDAC_LNC020292)". Lineage: Eukaryota; Viridiplantae; Streptophyta; Magnoliopsida; Arecales; Arecaceae. The record is from RNAcentral.
CAGAUGUUGUAAAAAAUCAAGAAAGAUCUGGAGGAGGAUAAAAGCCUAGAAGGAAUGAUCAAAAUUCAUAUGCACCCACUGAAGUGAAAAUUAGCUCAUAGCGAACUUCCUUCCAUCCAUUUUACAAACCCUGCAGGAAAAUUCACAUGUUGUAUAAUUUGCAACCGUGUUAACAAAUAAAGCCAUGUAACUUUUACACUACUCAUCUUAGAAAGCACUACAAGAAAGUAAAAAAUGACACGUGACAACAAAUGGAGGGGAAAAAGAAACUAGAUGACUCUUUACAGGAGCAGAAGACCAAUUUUGCGUGUCGCCCUCAAAAACAUCUCAGAAACCCACUAGGGAAUGAGCAAACAAGAUCCACAUGUCAACAGAACUAACUCCUACAAGAAAAAUAUUAAAUGCCAUUUAUUUUUAAAAUCAAAUGAUCAGACUAUUAUUAUGAGAUUAAUAACUUCAGUUACCUCUGUUCAUCAUAUAGCAAGAUGUUAACAGCUUGGAAAAGUUCAGAUUUCAUAUGAAUCAUGAUCACAAAAUGAAAGGUAAAUAAGCUCCUAAAAGCACAAAAAGC